UUUCCGUAGGUGAACCUGCGGAAGGAUCAUUAUUGAAUAAACCUGAUGUGGUUGUAGCCGGCCCUUUCGGGAGCAUGUGCACACCCGUCGUCUUUAUCUUUCCACCUGUGCACCUUUUGUAGACCUGGAUGUAACACUUUCCGAGGCAACUCGGUCGGGAGGAAUGCUGUCAGCUUUCCUUGAAUGUCCAGGCCUAUGUUCUCAUAUACCCCAAAGAAUGUAACAGAAUGUAUUAUUGGGCCUUGUGCCUAUAAACUAUAUACAACUUUCAGCAACGGAUCUCUUGGCUCUC
This 292-nucleotide unclassified non-coding RNA is filed under the name plant metagenome. RNAcentral describes it as "partial contains small subunit ribosomal RNA, internal transcribed spacer 1, and 5.8S ribosomal RNA". The record is from RNAcentral.